CUGGGGGACCCGCCCUCACUUAGAAUCUUUUUCCGAAGAGAAUGGGAGAGAGCAGUGUGAUGUUUUUCAAAUUGUGUCUAACGGAGCUCCCAAAACACCGGACUUGUUACCCCCUGAUUGGCUGGAAGGAAGCGGGACUGGGGGGUUUGAAUGUUGAACACCAGAUUACAAUUCUGGACUUUCCGAAAAAUUGUACUCUUAGAAAACCACGGAAAUAGUUACGAAACAUUAAGACAGGGAGUUAAAAAAAAAAAAAAAAGCUGGUGUUUAAGCUUUUUUUUCUUUCAUAAAGGGCUUUCGAGUGGUUCUGAUGUAUAUUAAAAGUAAAACUGAGGAGGCAAUUUUCGCAAAAUUGUAAUUCUGCUGGCUGAAAUUACAAGACUUUCGUAUAUUUGUCCCUCUUCUCUGUUGGUUAAAAACUGAGUGUAGGAUUUAGAUUUUUUAUUCCUUUGACAGAAAUUUUUCAUAUUAAGCUACAUAUAUUUGUUAGAUGCAGAUUACGGGAGAAUUGUUUUAUUUUGACGAAAAGAGACUUUAAUUUCCUUAAUAUUAAGAUUGAGCUUUUCCACAUUUUCCAUAAAAAUGAAUAUGUUUUAAAAGCUUUUCACAUCUAAUUUGAAAUAUGUAGGUUUUGUUAAUUCAGCCAUUGCAGUGGACUUAAAACUUUAUUUACAAGAAAUUUAUCUUGCUUAAUUUAGACAAUACAACAGGUAAGUACGCACAGCCCAGAAAAGUCAGGUAUUACCACAGGAACACAAUGAUGGGGGAAGGUGUUGCUACAGUAGCUCAACUCUUUUUUAAAGCUAUGUUUACAUAUUGUGGGGGAGAGGGAACUAGAGAAGGUAAGGUAUCAGUCUUCCUGGUAGCAUUGAUUUUUAUGUGUUUGCCCUUCAUACUGUUUUUAAAAAUCCAAAUAAAAAUGCAAUUUUAGACUUUGUUUUAAUGUUAUUAACUUGCCUUUGUUGUAAAUGUUUAAAAUGUAGCCUCAGGUAUUUAUAUGUAACAUGGCAUUUUUUCUCAUCAGAUUAAUAUCACUUUUAAUGUUUACCAACUAGAGCUAAGGAUGAAAAUUUCAAAAUAGCUUUGAUAUUCUGGAUCCCUUGUUUUAUCAUGUUUUGUG
This 1120-nucleotide long non-coding RNA is filed under the name Equus caballus (horse). RNAcentral describes it as "lncRNA (ENSECAG00000047892.1)". The record is from RNAcentral. Lineage: Eukaryota; Metazoa; Chordata; Mammalia; Perissodactyla; Equidae.